RNAcentral lists this ribosomal RNA (1214 nucleotides) under metagenome. Its description in RNAcentral is "bacterial LSU rRNA". It matches the Rfam family "Bacterial large subunit ribosomal RNA", at positions 1591 to 2815 of the family's 2925-position model. The record is from RNAcentral.
CAGUGUAUGUCAGACUUCCAAGAAAAGCUCGCAAUGCCACAAAUAGAAAAUGCCUGUACCAUAACCGACACAGGUGGGUAGGUAGAGUAUACUAAGGGGCGCGAGAUAACUCUCUCUAAGGAACUCGGCAAAAUGACUCCGUAACUUCGGGAGAAGGAGUGCCUUAUUUAUAAGGUUGCAAUAACAAGAUCCAAGCAACUGUUUAUCAAAAACACAGGUCUCCGCUAAGUCGUAAGACGAUGUAUGGGGGCUGACGCCUGCCCAGUGCCAGAAGGUUAAAGAAGUUGGUUAGUGUAUGCGAAGCUGAUGACUGAAGCCCUGGUGAACGGCGGCCGUAACGAUAACGGUCCUAAGGUAGCGAAAUUCCUUGUCGGGUAAGUUCCGACCCGCACGAAAGGCGUAAUGAUUUGGAUACUGUCUCGGAGAGAGGCUCGGUGAAAUAGACUUGUCUGUGAAGAUGCGGACUACCUGCACCAGGACAGAAAGACCCUAUGAAGCUUUACUGUAACUUGAAAUUGGAAUUGGGCUUUGCUUGCGCAGUAUAGGUGGGAAGCGUUGAAAAUAUUCUUGCGGGAGUAUUGGAGCUAUCAGUGAGAUACCACUCUUGUAAUGUUAGAUUUCUAACUUUGAACCAUAAUCUGGUCAAAGAACAGUUUCAGGUGGGCAGUUUGACUGGGGCGGUCGCCUCCCAAAUGGUAACGGAGGCGUACAAAGGUUUCCUCUGAACGGAUAGAAAUCGUAUCUAGAGUGUAAAGGCAUAAGGAAGCUUGACUGUGAGACCUACAAGUCGAGCAGGGACGAAAGUCGGUCUUAGUGAUCUGACGGUACUGAGUGGAAAGGCCGUCACUCAACGGAUAAAAGUUACUCUAGGAUAACAGGCUGAUCUCCCCCAAGAGUUCACAUCGACGGGGAGGUUUGGCACCUCGAUGUCGGCUCAUCGCAUCCUGGGGCGGUAGUACGUCCCAAGGGUUGGGCUGUUCGCCCAUGAAAGCGGUACGCGAGCUGGGUUCAGAACGUCGUGAGACAGUUCGGUCCAUAUCCGGUGUAGGCGCUAGAAUAUUGAGAGGAGCCUUCUUUAGUACGAGAGGACCGAGAAGGACACACCGCUGGUGUACCAGUUAUCGUGCCAACGGUAAACGCUGGGUAGCUAUGUGUGGAGUGGAUAACCGCUGAAAGCAUCUAAGUGGGAAGCCCACCUCGAGAUGAGUAUUCUC